UCUAGAAUAGCUUAAAUGUAAAGCACUGACUUUGUAACUCAGAGAUAAAUUAUAUAUUUUUUUAGAU
RNAcentral lists this transfer RNA (67 nucleotides) under Chromodoris orientalis. Its description in RNAcentral is "tRNA-Thr". It matches the Rfam family "tRNA". From Rfam's summary of the family: Transfer RNA (tRNA) molecules are approximately 80 nucleotides in length. Their secondary structure includes four short double-helical elements and three loops (D, anti-codon, and T loops). The record is from RNAcentral. Lineage: Eukaryota; Metazoa; Mollusca; Gastropoda; Nudibranchia; Chromodorididae.